Molecule: transfer RNA, 69 nt
Filed under: Schistocephalus solidus
Lineage: Eukaryota; Metazoa; Platyhelminthes; Cestoda; Diphyllobothriidea; Diphyllobothriidae
Rfam family: tRNA
About the family: Transfer RNA (tRNA) molecules are approximately 80 nucleotides in length.
Source: Rfam by way of RNAcentral
GAGCCCGUGGCUCAAUAGUAGAGCGUUUGAGUCAAAUACAAAAGGUCGCGGGUUCGAAUCCCAGGUUCG